RNAcentral lists this small nuclear RNA (64 nucleotides) under Terrapene triunguis (Three-toed box turtle). Its description in RNAcentral is "Terrapene carolina triunguis (Three-toed box turtle) U4 spliceosomal RNA (ENSTMTG00000017253.1)". It matches the Rfam family "U4 spliceosomal RNA", at positions 17 to 79 of the family's 138-position model. From Rfam's summary of the family: U4 small nuclear RNA (U4 snRNA) is a component of the major U2-dependent spliceosome. The structure of U4 snRNA from yeast and human has been reported. U4 snRNA presents a k-turn RNA motif in the 5p-SL related to recognition of Snu13 protein. Lineage: Eukaryota; Metazoa; Chordata; Testudines; Emydidae. The record is from RNAcentral.
AGUAUCAUAGCCAAUGAAGUUAAUCUGAGGUGUGAUUAUUGCUAGUUGAAAACUUUUAAAAGAU